GCGUUGUCCGGAAUUAUUGGGCGUAAAGAGCUCGUAGGCGGUCUGUCGCGUCGGUCGUGAAAACUUGGGGCUUAACCCUGAGCUUGCGGUCGAUACGGGCAUGACUGGAGUUCGGCAGGGGAGACUGGAAUUCCUGGUGUAGCGGUGAAAUGCGCAGAUAUCAGGAGGAACACCGGUGGCGAAGGCGGGUCUCUGGGCCGAUACUGACGCUGAGGAGCGAAAGCGU
This 226-nucleotide ribosomal RNA is filed under the name uncultured bacterium. Its description in RNAcentral is "partial 16S ribosomal RNA". It matches the Rfam family "Bacterial small subunit ribosomal RNA", at positions 538 to 762 of the family's 1533-position model. The record is from RNAcentral.